UACAGAGGUCUCAAGCGUUGUUCGGAUUCAUUGGGCGUAAAGGGUGCGUAGGCGGCGCGAUAAGUCGGGUGUGAAAUCUCGGGGCUUAACUCCGAAACUGCAUUCGAUACUGCCGUGCUUGAGGACUGGAGAGGAGACUGGAAUUUACGGUGUAGCGGUGAAAUGCGUAGAUAUCGUAAGGAAGACCAGUGGCGAAGGCAGCUCGCUGGGACGGUACUGACGCUAAGGCGCGAAAGCGUGGGGAGCGAACAGG
RNAcentral lists this ribosomal RNA (253 nucleotides) under uncultured bacterium. RNAcentral's name for it is "partial 16S ribosomal RNA". It matches the Rfam family "Bacterial small subunit ribosomal RNA", at positions 524 to 776 of the family's 1533-position model. The record is from RNAcentral.